UUGGGAAUAUUGCACAAUGGGCGAAAGCCUGGUGCAGCGACGCCGCGUGAAGGAAGACGGCCUUCGGGUUGUAAACUUCUUUUUUGUGGGACGAUUGUGACGGUACCAUAAGAAUAAGGACCUGCUAACUACGUGCCAGCAGCAGCGGUAAUACGUAGGGUCCGAGCGUUGUCCGGAUUUAUUGGGCGUAAAGAGCAUGUAGGUGGAUUGGCGUGUCGAAUCUUAAAUCUUCAGGCUCAACCUGGAACUUGGAUUCGAAACUGCCUAUCUUUGAGGAUAGUGGGGGCAAGCGGAAUUAGCGGAGUAGCAGUGAAAUGCGUUGAUCUCGCUAAGAACACCAAUGGCGAAGGCAGCUUGCUAGACUUUUCCUGACACUGAGAUGCGAAAGCGUGGGGAGCGAACGGG
This 405-nucleotide ribosomal RNA is filed under the name uncultured bacterium. RNAcentral describes it as "bacterial SSU rRNA". It matches the Rfam family "Bacterial small subunit ribosomal RNA", at positions 355 to 776 of the family's 1533-position model. The record is from RNAcentral.